AACCCAUGUGUUGGAGAUUGAGCUAUAUAGUACUUGAAACGCUCUCAUGCCGAAUAUAAUUGUUCCCCGGAAGUUGUCUGAACUCAAAGAUCUUAUCCUGAAGCU
This is a small nucleolar RNA of Lycium barbarum (goji berry), 105 nucleotides long. NCBI's taxonomy places the organism in Eukaryota, Viridiplantae, Streptophyta, Magnoliopsida, Solanales, Solanaceae. The record is from RefSeq and is a predicted model, not a curated record.